UACGUAGGUGGCAAGCGUUAUCCGGAUUUACUGGGUGUAAAGGGCGUGUAGGCGGGAAAGCAAGUCAGAUGUGAAAACCACGGGCUCAGCCUGUGGCCUGCAUUUGAAACUGUUUUUCUUGAGUACUGGAGAGGCAGACGGAAUUCCUCGUGUAGCGGUGAAAUGCGUAGAUAUGAGGAGGAACACCAGUGGCGAAGGCGGUCUGCUGGACAGCAACUGACGCUGAGGCGCGAAAGCGUGGGGAGCAAACAGG
RNAcentral lists this ribosomal RNA (253 nucleotides) under uncultured bacterium. Its description in RNAcentral is "partial 16S ribosomal RNA". It matches the Rfam family "Bacterial small subunit ribosomal RNA", at positions 524 to 776 of the family's 1533-position model. The record is from RNAcentral.